CAUUAAGUGUGUGUCAUAUGUGCAAUUUCACUUCCUGCCGUAGCCAGCAGCCAUGACAGGAGUUUGGAUUUAUAGCUGUAAUUAUGUUUAUUUUUUUCGUUUAAGUACUAUAUCUGUUAGAAUGGAAAUUUUAAACUAUUGGAUUACAAGAAACAAAACAAAAUUUUCAGAUUCUCUCGGCAGAAGAUUCUAUCAGAUUAACCUCGGAAUAAUCCAUCUUUUUAUUCUAUCGUUGGAGACAAGAAAAAAAUCAACAUCAGGGAAAUUUCGCAGUCGGCUUCCGGAUUCUCCAAGAGUGCUGUCCUACCUCGCGUCCGGCAAAAAAUGCUGUGUUAAGAGCGCUCCAAACAAAUGCGACGCGACUAUCCCGUUGGUAUGGACGCGUAAAAGAAACCUCACAGGCAGCGAUCUAGUGAUAGGGUCGCGGCAAUAGUCGCCCAGCAACAGCGAACUUCGCUGCGUGUGUUUAGGGGGAGCCUUCUAUCAUUACUUAUUUCAUGCGAUGGCGAUGGAUUACCUAACAAAUCGAAUAUGAUAAUAAAAAUAUG
This is a long non-coding RNA of Armigeres subalbatus, 548 nucleotides long. RefSeq lists it as uncharacterized. The record is from RefSeq and is a predicted model, not a curated record. NCBI's taxonomy places the organism in Eukaryota, Metazoa, Arthropoda, Insecta, Diptera, Culicidae. The transcript has 3 exons.